This 270-nucleotide ribosomal RNA is filed under the name uncultured prokaryote. RNAcentral's name for it is "partial 16S ribosomal RNA". It matches the Rfam family "Bacterial small subunit ribosomal RNA", at positions 524 to 792 of the family's 1533-position model. The record is from RNAcentral.
UGCGUAGGGUGCGAGCGUUAUCCGGAAUCAUUGGGCGUAAAGAGCUCGUAGGCGGUUCAACAAGUCGGCUGUGAAAGUCCGGGGCUCAACCCCGGAAUUGCAGUCGAUACUGUUGUGACUUGAGUCCGGUAGAGGAGAAUGGAAUUCCCGGUGUAGCGGUGGAAUGCGCAGAUAUCGGGAGGAACACCAGUAGCGAAGGCGGUUCUCUGGGCCGGCACUGACGCUGAGGAGCGAAAGCGUGGGGAGCAAACAGGAUUAGAUACCCGUGUA